GAAGCCCGCCAGACCACCGCUGGUGCAAUUUGGGAAACCAAGCACUGGAGGAACGUCCGGACUGCAUAGGGCAGCGUAGCAGCUAACGGCUGUCCACUGACAAGUUGAUCGCGCAAGCGAAAGGCCCUAAGGUGAGGAUUAGAGCAACAGAGACGAGCCGAUUCAGUUCGGGUGAAACGGGCAAUCUCUACGCGCAGCAAUACCAAGUAGGCACACGUUGACGGGGCCCCCGGAGUGUGCGGGUAGGUAGCAUCGAGCCGUUUGGGUGACCAGCGGCCCAGAGUAAUGGUGGUCACAGAGGGGGAAACUUCUCUGCACAGAAUCCGGCUUAUCGGUGGGCUUCACAC
This 347-nucleotide RNase P RNA is filed under the name Candidatus Aalborgicola defluviihabitans. RNAcentral describes it as "RNase P RNA component class A". It matches the Rfam family "Bacterial RNase P class A". From Rfam's summary of the family: Ribonuclease P (RNase P) is a ubiquitous endoribonuclease, found in archaea, bacteria and eukarya as well as chloroplasts and mitochondria. Its best characterised activity is the generation of mature 5'-ends of tRNAs by cleaving the 5'-leader elements of precursor-tRNAs. Lineage: Bacteria; Pseudomonadati; Pseudomonadota; Betaproteobacteria; Burkholderiales; Comamonadaceae. The record is from RNAcentral.